CCUACGGGCGGCAGCAGUGAGGAAUAGUGGUCAAUGGACGGAAGUCUGAACCAGCCAUGCCGCGUGCAGGAAGACGGCUCUAUGAGUUGUAAACUGCUUUUGUACAAGGGUAAACCUGAAUACGUGUAUGCAGCUGAAAGUACUGUACGAAUAAGGAGCGGCUAACUCCGUGCGAGCAGCCGCGGUAAUACGGAGGAUCCAAGCGGUAUCCGGAUUUAUUGGGUUUAAAGGGUGCGUAGGCGGAUUUAUAAGGUAGAGGGGAAAUGUCCGCGCUUAACUCGGGAACUGCCUCUAAUACUGUUGAUCUAGAGCGUAGCUGCUGUAGGCGGAAUGUCUGGUGUAGCGGU
This 347-nucleotide ribosomal RNA is filed under the name uncultured bacterium. RNAcentral's name for it is "partial 16S ribosomal RNA". It matches the Rfam family "Bacterial small subunit ribosomal RNA", at positions 338 to 682 of the family's 1533-position model. The record is from RNAcentral.